UACAGAGGGUGCGAGCGUUAAUCGGAAUUACUGGGCGUAAAGCGCACGUAGGUGGCGACGUAAGUCGGGUGUGAAAGACCCGGGCUCAACCUGGGAAAUGCAUUCGAGACUGCAUGGCUGGAGUACGGAAGAGGAGGGCGGAAUUCCCGGUGUAGCGGUGAAAUGCGUAGAUAUCGGGAGGAACAUCAGUGGCGAAGGCGGCCCUCUGGUCCAGUACUGACACUCAAGUGCGAAAGCGUGGGGAGCAAACAGG
This 253-nucleotide ribosomal RNA is filed under the name uncultured bacterium. RNAcentral's name for it is "partial 16S ribosomal RNA". It matches the Rfam family "Bacterial small subunit ribosomal RNA", at positions 524 to 776 of the family's 1533-position model. The record is from RNAcentral.